Molecule: long non-coding RNA, 1415 nt
Organism: Neopelma chrysocephalum (saffron-crested tyrant-manakin)
Lineage: Eukaryota; Metazoa; Chordata; Aves; Passeriformes; Pipridae
Exons: 2
Source: RefSeq, a predicted model, not a curated record
CACCCUGGUCACAAGGGUUUGGAUUGGGAUUAGUUUUGGUGUUGUUUUUGGGCAAAGCUCAUUGUCAUAACACAUCAAAGUGGUCCCUGAAACAGACCCCUAAAAGCAACCCUCGUUUGGGGAAAAGGAGGAAACCAGAGACAGGACACUGACCCAGAAGCCUCUGAAUUCAUGCAGGUAACAACAGUGCUGAUGGAGCUGUUGCCCUGACACUCUUCCUGCACAACAUUUAGUGUAAUUUCUUUCAUCUUUAAUAUAAUAAUGUCAUUAAGAGUCAAAACGUUGGGGCAGUAGAGGGUGGGAAGGAGCAAACAGUGUGAGGACUGGUGCUGUCAUUUCAGCUCCUGGGACAGCUCUACCCUUUUUGUGGACUUGUAAACUGCCAGGCAGGGAUUGCCUGAUCCCACAUACAGGAUCACAGCUGAAGUCACUUCUGCAUUACACACCCACCAGCUUUUUAUUUCUAAAAAAGGAUCUUUCCAGACUACUUUCAGAUAAGUGGCAAUUUUCCUUCUGUUGGUGACAGGGCAGUCUGGGCCACAAGCACCCUUUUCCCCUAUUAGCUGCUGUCUUCUCCUUCUCCCAUUUGCUUUUUGAAUGAGAUCAACUACUCUGUGUCAGCUCCUCUUCCUCUCCCAAAGUCAGUACUUUUCCAUGACAGUUAUUUUUCAGGUGAGGCUGGAGCUGUUUCCUCAGCCCACUUCAAGACCUGAUGGUUUGAAGUGAAGGGGGAGACUCACAUAAAAAUUUAACAGCUUAAAAAUUGCCUUGUAAAGGAACUCACAGGAGGUAUAAAGAGGUGGUGAGGAGGAGAUGCAGGUGUCCUACAAACAGAAACCAGUAACAGAGUUCCUGUCCUGGGGAUGUACAGCACUGGUUUGUGAUCACUCCUUGCUUUCCCCAGUCCCCACAGGACUCCACCUUCCUCCAGGAUGGCAAGAUCCCACCAGCACCUCGUCCUGCUGGGCACUUCCCUUUGGCUCCUCUCUGACCACUUAGUGAUUUCCACAAGCUCACAGAACAUAAAAUGAUCUUUGGGACUCCCAACUAUCACAUUUUGUUACAAUUGUCCACUGUGUUAAAAUUUUACACAGGUGAGAUGGACAGGCAGCCAGGUUUCCUAAACCUCCUGUGGCCUAGAGCACAGUAAGCAGGGAUGUUAGAUUAUGGGCACUGUAAGCUAAAAAUAGGAGAAAAUUAAUAAAAGAUUUAGUCUAACUUAAGGUCACUGUGGAGUUGAGUUAGGCUUGAAGCCAGAAGCCCAAAAUGUGCAGUUUUAACAGCAGAAUAGAGUUGAAACUGGGUCAGCUGAACACAAUACUGAUCUAAAAAGCCCAGGGAUCAACAUCUCCCUUAACAAAACCCAACCAACCAACCAAAAAAAAAAACCCAAACCAACCAAUAAAACCCCAGAA